GACGAACGCUGGCGGCGUGCUUAACACAUGCCAGUCGAACGGAAAGGCCCUGCUUUUGUGGGGUGCUCGAGUGGCGAACGGGUGAGUAACACGUGAGUAACCUGCCCUUGACUUUGGGAUAACUUCAGGAAACUGGGGCUAAUACCGGAUAGGAGCUCCUGCUGCAUGGUGGGGGUUGGAAAGUUUCGGCGGUUGGGGAUGGACUCGCGGCUUAUCAGCUUGUUGGUGGGGUAGUGGCUUACCAAGGCUUUGACGGGUAGCCGGCCUGAGAGGGUGACCGGCCACAUUGGGACUGAGAUACGGCCCAGACUCCUACGGGAGGCAGCAGUGGGGAAUAUUGCACAAUGGGCGGAAGCCUGAUGCAGCAACGCCGCGUGCGGGAUGACGGCCUUCGGGUUGUAAACCUCUUUCGCCUGUGACGAAGCGUGAGUGACGGUAAUGGGUAAAGAAGCACCGGCUAACUACGUG
This 468-nucleotide ribosomal RNA is filed under the name uncultured bacterium. RNAcentral's name for it is "partial 16S ribosomal RNA". It matches the Rfam family "Bacterial small subunit ribosomal RNA", at positions 28 to 507 of the family's 1533-position model. The record is from RNAcentral.